AAGAUUUUCAGCUGCAAUACCCUGAGAUUAAGAGACAACCCAGCUUCAAAAGUUUAAAACUUUAAACAAUUCUGAUAUCACAAAUAUGUUUCCCGUUCAUUGAUUCGAUUAAGACCCAGAAAAUUUCGAUUUUUUUUUUUAAAACUUCUAGCUUCAAGAGUCCAACAAAUAAGCAAACAUGAUCAAACCCAGAAAAACCCGAGAAGGCUACGAAACAGAUCGUAACUAGAAGAAAGCACUAACAUGCAUAAAUAUUCGUAAGCAAUUUCAAACACAGAUUAUGAAGGUUCAAGUACCUGCAACAAGUUGAAGGAUGAAA
Molecule: long non-coding RNA, 319 nt
Organism: Arabidopsis thaliana (thale cress)
Lineage: Eukaryota; Viridiplantae; Streptophyta; Magnoliopsida; Brassicales; Brassicaceae
Product: other RNA
Exons: 1
Source: RefSeq